RNAcentral lists this ribosomal RNA (219 nucleotides) under uncultured bacterium. RNAcentral describes it as "partial 16S ribosomal RNA". It matches the Rfam family "Bacterial small subunit ribosomal RNA", at positions 1285 to 1500 of the family's 1533-position model. The record is from RNAcentral.
GUCCCAGUUCGGAUCGCAGGCUGCAACCCGCCUGCGUGAAGUUGGAAUCGCUAGUAAUCGCGGAUCAGCAUGCCGCGGUGAAUACGGUUCCCGGGCCUUGUACACACCGCCCGUCACACCAUGAGAGUCGGGAACACCCGAAGUCCGUAGCCUAACCGCGAAGGGGGGGCGCGGCCGAAGGUGGGUUCGAUAAUUGGGGUGAAGUCGUAACAAGGUACC